This is a long non-coding RNA of Argiope bruennichi, 1577 nucleotides long. RefSeq lists it as uncharacterized. NCBI's taxonomy places the organism in Eukaryota, Metazoa, Arthropoda, Arachnida, Araneae, Araneidae. The record is from RefSeq and is a predicted model, not a curated record. The transcript is spliced from 10 exons.
UUGUCUUUUGUUCUGAAAAUGGGGAUAGAGUUUUUUGUUGCUAUAUUCCACACUGUUUAAAUUUAACUCAAAUUUAUUUUGGAUAUGCGUAAGGAGGAGCAUAUUAAUUGCGAUCUCUUUUUAAGUAUAUUUUUUAUGUGUAUUAGGUUUUCAUAACUCGGAGAAUCUUUAUUUGUUGAGUGGUCUUUUUCCAUGAGAUACAGUUCAAAGCUUAAGCAGGAGGCUAUUAAACUGCAACAAAUCUCAAUCACGCGAAGUACGACGUGGAUUUUUAAGAAUGUCGAUGUGUUUUUAAGAAUUCGAGGAUUAUUUUUCUUUAAAAGUACUGUCCUCUUGGGAAAUUUGUUUCGUUUAUUUAUUGAAGUGAUGAAUUAUUAAACUACAUUCAUUUAACGAAAAAAAUCAGAAGUUAACUGCCGUAAAUAUGAAUCAGCAAAGUGAUUCUGUGGAUAUUUUUGGGGAGUAUAAACCUGUGAAACUAAUUUUUGCCAUUCAACCCAUGAAGGAUGGAUUUGUUCCUUUUUCCAAUAUUAAUGGCUGCGCAAAAAUAUUCGAAGUUCCUUAAGCAUAUAGCAAAUAUAUUUCUUUUGGAAAGCACUUGGAAUUACUUAGUCGCUGGAAGAAAUCAGGCGAAAAAAUCAAACAUCUGCAAGAACAGAUAAAUCAAGCAAAGCCCACUGUUGCAUUUCAGUUUAUAGAGGUCUUUGAAUUACAUUGAAAAAGAAACUAGUCUAUUUGAUUUGAAGUCUGAAAAAUUAUCAAGUCCCCCUUUUAAAUAUUCCAGACUAGUCACUGGAGCAAUUCCAUCCCAGAUGCCAAAUUGUGUUUCUUAUAUGUCAUCUUCAGCAUUUCACAGGCAAAAUCUUGAAACAAAAAAGAUGAAAUUAGAGCAACAAUAUAUAGAAAAAGCUCUCCAGAAAAGCAUAACAGAAAAAAAUGAUGAUGAUGAGACAGGAGAUUUCAAUCUUGAAGAACUAAAGCAGAACAUUUCGUUAGUAAAUUUGAAAAAAUUCUGGAAUACCAUUUAUAUAAAAACAAAAUUUUAUUUGUGAACAUUGAAUUAAGUUCUGGUCUUGAAAUCGCAUUAUCUGUUAAAUGAUUUAUUAGAGGUGUCGACUUUCGUUGUAAAAACAAGCCUGUCAAAUUCCAAAUAUUUCUUCUUUACCAAUAAAAGUCAACAAAAUCAAUAAUUUAAAUGAAAUAUUAGAGUAUCUUCCAGAAAUGAAGACAAAUAAUUUAUUGCUGAAUUCAGAUAUUAUUUCCCAGUUUCAUGGUUUCAUGGAUAAUUCUAAUAUAACCAAAGAAAAUUUAACCAAUGUUAUCAUAUUUAUUAAAUAGCAACUUGUCUUGGUUAUUCAAAUGAGCACUAUAAAAGGACUCCACUGAAAUGAAUGACACAGUGUACUGACCUUUUGGGAAAUUUGUUUCCUUUAUUUAUUGAAGUGAUGAAUUAUGAAACUACAUUCAUUUAAUGAAAAAAUUAAAUGAUGUCCAGUGUCUCCAGGAACCCUAUGCAAGAUGAUGCAGAAAUUUGAAAAAACUGGGCAACUUGGCAUUCUUCCAGGUAGAGGACGAAA